The sequence is a ribosomal RNA, 433 nucleotides long. It matches the Rfam family "Bacterial small subunit ribosomal RNA", at positions 341 to 792 of the family's 1533-position model.
ACGGAAGGCAGCAGUGGGGAAUGUUGGGCAAUGGGCGCAAGCCUGACCCAGCAAUGCCGCGUGAAGGAAGAAGGCUUUCGGGUUGUAAACUCUUUUAAGUGGGACGAUAAUGACGGUACCACUUGAAUAAGCUCCGGCUAACUACGUGCCAGCAGCCGCGGUAAUACGUAGGGAGCAAGCGUUAUCCGGAUUUACUGGGUGUAAAGGGCGUGUAGGCGGGACAGCAAGUCAGGUGUGAAAGCACGAGGCUCAACUUCGUGUCUGCAUUUGAAACUGCUGUUCUUGAGUGCUGGAGAGGCUAACGGAACUCCUAGUGUAGCGGUGAAAUGCGUAGAUAUUAGGAAGAACACCAGUGGCGAAGGCGGUUAGCUGGACAGUAACUGACGCUGAGGCGCGAAAGCGUGGGUAGCAAACAGGAUUAGAUACCCUGGUA